This 145-nucleotide small nucleolar RNA is filed under the name Myotis lucifugus (little brown bat). RNAcentral's name for it is "Small nucleolar RNA SNORA61 (ENSMLUG00000024074.1)". The record is from RNAcentral. Lineage: Eukaryota; Metazoa; Chordata; Mammalia; Chiroptera; Vespertilionidae.
AUUUUGCUUAUUAUUCCCCAUGUGGCAGGCUUGAAAUUCAGUGAAACUGUGAUAAAACAACACUGGUGGUGGUCGUAAAGGAGGAAACGUAAUAGUGAAGCUGGCCCCACAGUACUUAUAGUCUGUGGGCUAGUUUCAAACAAGG